AUUGAACGCUGGCGGCAGGCCUAACACAUGCAAGUCGAGCGGCAGCGGAAAGUAGCUUGCUACUUUGCCGGCGAGCGGCGGACGGGUGAGUAAUGUCUGGGAAACUGCCUGAUGGAGGGGGAUAACUACUGGAAACGGUGGCUAAUACCGCAUAACGUCGCAAGACCAAAGUGGGGGACCUUCGGGCCUCACGCCAUCGGAUGUGCCCAGAUGGGAUUAGCUAGUAGGUGGGGUAAUGGC
RNAcentral lists this ribosomal RNA (240 nucleotides) under Rahnella aquatilis. RNAcentral describes it as "partial 16S ribosomal RNA". It matches the Rfam family "Bacterial small subunit ribosomal RNA", at positions 30 to 264 of the family's 1533-position model. Lineage: Bacteria; Pseudomonadati; Pseudomonadota; Gammaproteobacteria; Enterobacterales; Yersiniaceae. The record is from RNAcentral.